Molecule: long non-coding RNA, 729 nt
Filed under: Fragaria vesca (wild strawberry)
Lineage: Eukaryota; Viridiplantae; Streptophyta; Magnoliopsida; Rosales; Rosaceae
Description: long non-coding RNA (FVES_LNC002941)
Source: RNAcentral
CAUAUUCCUGAUGUGGGAUUUAUAUCUCCACACUCUUGAGUAUAGUUGUUUCGUUCAUGUAGUUGUGUUUAUAUGAUUUGUGAAUGAUCUUGGAUAUAUUGCUCAUUAUAUUAAAACACACCUUAAUUACUUCGCAGAUAUCAAAAAUAAACAAGUUAGGCUAACACUAAAGGUUUAUAUAUUGCAUGCAUAGACAGAUAGACUAUAAUAAUCGUGUUCUCAAUUGCUUUCGCACCCAAGAGAGUUGUCCUACACGAAGAUAGGUCAUUUGAGUUUUGAUCGAGUUCCCUCAAACGAAGGGCAAAGGAAAAUAGCCAUGAUGGUUAGGAAGAGAUAGUGUGGGUCAAAAGAAAGCGCCCGGCCUCUACCGGAACAGUGUGUCUCGUACCACCUACGCAUGCCUGUAAUUUCUCUUCUUUGAAGUCGAUCUACAUUGACAAAUUAGAAACAAUUUGAAGCUUGAAGCUUAAAGCUUGAACCAAGUUAUCAACUCCAGGACCACCCCAUAAAAAUCCCGAUAAAAACCCAUGGUAAAAUUCUGUUUUCCCCAUUUAGAGCAGUCAUAAGUGUGAAAUGAUGAGAUAUACGAUACACUGAAUCCUACCAAUGGACAUGAAUAAAUCCUAAACAAGUAUCUGAUAUGAUCUUGUUUUGUUCUUUUCAUAUGCAUCCCCAUUUCGUACCAAGCUUCCAAGAUGUUUCUCUUGGCAUAUAUCUACAAUAAACAAG